Molecule: non-coding RNA, 110 nt
Organism: Acanthosepion pharaonis
Lineage: Eukaryota; Metazoa; Mollusca; Cephalopoda; Sepiida; Sepiidae
Source: the annotation of a GenBank genome assembly
AGGCCAUAUCACGUUGAAACACCGGUUACCGUAUGAUCACCGAAGUUAAGAUAAGCAAAGUCUGGUUACUACCAAGAUGUGUAACAGCUUGGGAAUACGAAGUGCUGCAA